This 497-nucleotide ribosomal RNA is filed under the name uncultured bacterium. Its description in RNAcentral is "partial 16S ribosomal RNA". It matches the Rfam family "Bacterial small subunit ribosomal RNA", at positions 28 to 507 of the family's 1533-position model. The record is from RNAcentral.
GAUGAACGCUGGCGGCGUGCCUAAUACAUGCAAGUCGAACGAACAGACGAGGAGCUUGCUCCUCUGACGUUAGCGGCGGACGGGUGAGUAACACGUGGAUAACCUACCUAUAAGACUGGGAUAACUUCGGGAAACCGGAGCUAAUACCGGAUAAUAUAUUGAACCGCAUGGUUCAUUAGUGAAAGACGGUUUUGCUGUCCCUUCUAGAUGGCUCCCCGCCGCAUUAGCUAGUUGGUAAGGUACCGGCUUACCAAGGCAACGAUGCGUAGCCGACCUAAAAGGGUGAUCGGCACCACUGGAACUGAGACACGGUCCAGACUCCUACGGGAGGCAGAAGUAGGGAAUCUUCCGCAAUGGGCGAAAGCCUGACGGAGCAACGCCGCGUGAGUGAUGAAGGUCUUCGGAUCGUAAAACUCUGUUAUUAGGGAAGAACAAAUGUGUAAGUAACUAUGCACGUCGUGACGGUACCUAAUCAGAAAGCCACGGCUAACUACGUG